UCCUGGGUGGCUCAGUAUGUUGAGCAUCUGACUUCAGCUCAGGUCAUGAUCUCACAGUCUGUGGGUUCAAGCCCCGCAUCGGGCU
Non-coding RNA from Felis catus (domestic cat), 85 nucleotides. Lineage: Eukaryota; Metazoa; Chordata; Mammalia; Carnivora; Felidae. The record is from Rfam.